CUCUUUUCUUUAUCGUCACUUCAGUGUACAUCCCUGUGUGUCUGUUUUCCCGGGUUCUUUUUGUUGCAAGUGAUGGAGAACCACUUUAGACUGGCCGUCGAGUAGGGGCUGUCUAAUACUGCUCAUGCAGCUGGUUGGGCAUAGCUGUCCCUCCAUCUCUCUCCCUGUUCUCUCUAGACAAUGUGGUAUACUGUCUGCUCAGCCUGACGCUGAUCCCUCACUGAUCUGAAGGCCAGCCGGAAGCCAGUGUACAGGGGUAGUGGCAGCCCGUCCAUGUGUACCCCCAGAAGAUCAGGGCCGUAGAGGAGAAUGAGAAGUGGAGGCUGGCAACAAAAACAGGAGGAGGAACAGUGACAAGUGUCACCCAGGGUGGUGAUGGCCGCCCCGCCAGCACAUCCUCCCCGACCUUCCACCGCGCCCUGCUCUUCCAGUGUGCUGAGGUGUUUUCAGGUCGUGGCAGAGGAAAUUGUUCUCCAGACCCUGAAGUCAAAAGAUACCCAGCCCUGAGCCCUGGGGAGCUCCACCGCGUCCUAGCCCACCGCACCGCCGUCCCCGGCUGGUCCUCCUGGAGCGAGAAGCCCAGACUUGUGUGCCGCCUCACACGCUCACAGAUGGCUUCCCUGCCCAGGGCUGGCUGCUGCUAAUUUUGGCUGUUGGAGGCUCCGUGUGCGCUCUCUCUUUUUUUAAUUCCAUGUUUAUUUAAAGCCAGAUUUUGAAAUCUUGUCGUCAACUCUGAAGUCUGAAAUUUUCUUGCUGCAGAUCUUCCCCCCCAACACACACACAUACACACUCACACACAGGAUGCAAAGUACAGGAGGCUUGAUGCACAACUAGACAGGGCUCCCUGACAGCCGACCUGUUGUGUCAGCACAGAGCACGGGACGUCCCUGUGCAUGCUGGUGUUUCCGGG
RNAcentral lists this long non-coding RNA (910 nucleotides) under Meriones unguiculatus (Mongolian gerbil). RNAcentral's name for it is "lncRNA (ENSMUGG00000009648.1)". Lineage: Eukaryota; Metazoa; Chordata; Mammalia; Rodentia; Muridae. The record is from RNAcentral.